CCUGGUAGCAUCAGCCCAUUACUGCUGUAGCUACUGGGGAGGCUGAGACUGCUGGAUCUCUUGAGCUCAGGAGUUCUGAGCUGCAGUCAUGCUGAAGCUGAUCUGGUGUCUGCACUAAAUCUGGCACCGAUACAGGAAGCUUUCUAAGAGCAGGGGAGGUUACCGGGCUGCCUGAGGAGGGGGGAACUGGCCCAGGAUGGACACAGUGCAGGGCAAAACUUCCAUGCCCAUCAGUACUGGGGUGGGCCUGUGAGUGGCUGCUGCAUUUCCAGCCUGGGUAAAAUAGGGAGAUUCAGUUUCA
RNAcentral lists this signal recognition particle RNA (301 nucleotides) under Phascolarctos cinereus (koala). Its description in RNAcentral is "Metazoan signal recognition particle RNA (ENSPCIG00000015807.2)". It matches the Rfam family "Metazoan signal recognition particle RNA". From Rfam's summary of the family: The signal recognition particle (SRP) is a universally conserved ribonucleoprotein. It is involved in the co-translational targeting of proteins to membranes. Lineage: Eukaryota; Metazoa; Chordata; Mammalia; Diprotodontia; Phascolarctidae. The record is from RNAcentral.